Small nuclear RNA from Artibeus jamaicensis (Jamaican fruit-eating bat), 107 nucleotides. Lineage: Eukaryota; Metazoa; Chordata; Mammalia; Chiroptera; Phyllostomidae. The record is from RefSeq and is a predicted model, not a curated record.
GUGCUCACUUAGGUGUCAUAUAUACAAAAAUUGGAAUGAUACAGAGAAGAUUAGCAUGGCCCCUGCACAAGGAUGACACGCAAAUUCGUGAAGUGUUCCAUAUUUUU